CAGUGGGGAUACUUGGCCAAUGGGCGCAAGCCUGAUCCAGCCAUGCCGCGUGUGUGAUGAAGGCCUUAGGGUCGUAAAGCACUUUCGCCAGAGAUGAUAAUGACAGUAUCUGGUAAAGAAGCCCCGGCUAWCUCCGUGCCAGCAAGCCGC
Molecule: ribosomal RNA, 150 nt
Filed under: uncultured marine bacterium
Lineage: Bacteria
Description: partial small subunit ribosomal RNA
Rfam family: Bacterial small subunit ribosomal RNA
Source: RNAcentral